RNAcentral lists this non-coding RNA (603 nucleotides) under Drosophila sechellia. RNAcentral describes it as "Eukaryotic large subunit ribosomal RNA". It matches the Rfam family "Eukaryotic large subunit ribosomal RNA", at positions 2844 to 3401 of the family's 3401-position model. The record is from Rfam by way of RNAcentral. Lineage: Eukaryota; Metazoa; Arthropoda; Insecta; Diptera; Drosophilidae.
CCAAGCGUUCAUAGCGACGUCGCUUUUUGAUCCUUCGAUGUCGGCUCUUCCUAUCAUUGUGAAGCAAAAUUCACCAAGCGUUGGAUUGUUCACCCAUGCAAGGGAACGUGAGCUGGGUUUAGACCGUCGUGAGACAGGUUAGUUUUACCCUACUAAUGACAAAACGUUGUUGCGACAGCAUUCCUGCGUAGUACGAGAGGAACCGCAGGUACGGACCAAUGGCACAAUACUUGUUCGAGCGAACAGUGGUAUGACGCUACGUCCGUUGGAUUAUGCCUGAACGCCUCUAAGGUCGUAUCCGUGCUGGACUGCAAUGAUAAAUAAGGGGCAAUUUGCAUUGUAUGGCUUCUAAACCAUUUAAAGUUUAUAAUUUAUUUUAUAAACGACAAUGGAUGUGAUGCCAAUGUAAUUUGUAACAUAGUAAAUUAGGAGGAUCUUCGAUCACCUGAUGCCGCGCUAGUUACAUAUAAAAGCAUUAUUUAAUACAAUGACAAAGCCUAGAAUCAAUUGUAAACGACUUUUGUAACAGGCAAGGUGUUGUAAGUGGUUGAGCAGCUGCCAUACUGCGAUCCACUGAAGCUUAUCCUUUGCUUGAUGAUUCGA